AGAGUUUGAUCCUGGCUCAGGAUGAACGCUGGCGGCGUGCUUGACACAUGCAAGUCGAACGGUGAACACGGAGCUUGCUCUGUGGGAUCAGUGGCGAACGGGUGAGUAACACGUGAGCAACCUGCCCCUGACUCUGGGAUAAGCGCUGGAAACGGCGUCUAAUACUGGAUAUGUGACGUGACCGCAUGGUCCGCGUCUGGAAAGAAUUUCGGUUGGGGAUGGGCUCGCGGCCUAUCAGCUUGUUGGUGAGGUAAUGGCUCACCAAGGCGUCGACGGGUAGCCGGCCUGAGAGGGUGACCGGCCACACUGGGACUGAGACACGGCCCAGACUCCUACGGGAGGCAGCAGUGGGGAAUAUUGCACAAUGGGCGCAAGCCUGAUGCAGCAACGCCGCGUGAGGGACGACGGCCUUCGGGUUGUAAACCUCUUUUAGCAGGGAAGAAGCGAAAGUGCCGGUACCUGCAGAAAAAGCGCCGGCUAACUACGUGCCAGCAGCCGCGGUAAUACGUAGGGCGCAAGCGUUAUCCGGAAUUAUUGGGCGUAAAGAGCUCGUAGGCGGUUUGUCGCGUCUGCUGUGAAAUCCGGAGGCUCAACCUCCGGCCUGCAGUGGGUACGGGCAGACUAGAGUGCGGUAGGGGAGAUUGGAAUUCCUGGUGUAGCGGUGGAAUGCGCAGAUAUCAGGAGGAACACCGAUGGCGAAGGCAGAUCUCUGGGCCGUAACUGACGCUGAGGAGCGAAAGGGUGGGGAGCAAACAGGCUUAGAUACCCUGGUAGUCC
This 777-nucleotide ribosomal RNA is filed under the name uncultured bacterium. RNAcentral's name for it is "bacterial SSU rRNA". It matches the Rfam family "Bacterial small subunit ribosomal RNA", at positions 8 to 796 of the family's 1533-position model. The record is from RNAcentral.